This 117-nucleotide ribosomal RNA is filed under the name Dracunculus medinensis (Guinea worm). Lineage: Eukaryota; Metazoa; Nematoda; Chromadorea; Rhabditida; Dracunculidae. The record is from RNAcentral.
GCUUACGGCCAUAGCACCUUGAAAACACGACAUCGGGUUCGAUCUGCCAAAUUAAGCAACGUCGGGCUUGGUUAGCACUAGGAUCGGAGACUGCCUGGGAAUCCCAAGUUAUAAAAC